GCAUAUCAAUAAGCGGAGGAAAAGAAACCAACAGGGAUUGCCUCAGUAACGGCGAGUGAAGCGGCAACAGCUCAAAUUUGAAAUCUGGCCCCCAGGGUCCGAGUUGUAAUUUGUAGAGGAUGCUUUUGGUGAGGUGCCUUCCGAGUUCCCUGGAACGGGACGCCAUAGAGGGUGAGAGCCCCGUCUGGUUGGAUACCGAGCCUCUGUAAAGCUCCUUCGACGAGUCGAGUAGUUUGGGAAUGCUGCUCUAAAUGGGAGGUAUAUGUCUUCUAAAGCUAAAUAUUGGCCAGAGACCGAUAGCGCACAAGUAGAGUGAUCGAAAGAUGAAAAGCACUUUGAAAAGAGGGUUAAAAAGUACGUGAAAUUGUUGAAAGGGAAGCGCUCAUGACCAGACUUGGGCUUGGCGAAUCAUCCAGCGUUCUCGCUGGUGCACUUCGCCUCGUUCAGGCCAGCAUCAGUUCGUCCCGGGGGAUAAAAGCUUUGGGAACGUGGCUGCUUCGGCAGUGUUAUAGCCCGCUGCAUAAUACCCUGGGGUGGACUGAGGUUCGCGCUCCGCAAGGAUGCUGGCGUAAUGGUCAUCAGCGACCCGUCUUGAAACACGGACCAAGGAGUCGUCUUCGUAUGCGAGUGUUCGGGUGUCAAACCCCUACGCGUAAUGAAAGUGAACGCAGGUGAGAGCUUCGGCGCAUCAUCGACCGAUCCUGAUGUUCUCGGAUGGAUUUGAGUAAGAGCAUACGGGGCCGGACCCGAAAGAAGGUGAACUAUGCCUGUAUAGGGUGAAGCCAGAGGAAACUCUGGUGGAGGCUCGCAGCGGUUCUGACGUGCAAAUCGAUCGUCAAAUAUGGGCAUGGGGGCGAAAGACUAAUCGAA
Molecule: ribosomal RNA, 870 nt
Filed under: Hypocreales sp. FY-2022d
Lineage: Eukaryota; Fungi; Ascomycota; Sordariomycetes; Hypocreales
Description: partial large subunit ribosomal RNA
Rfam family: Eukaryotic large subunit ribosomal RNA
Source: RNAcentral